GCGUGGGUGAAGAAGGUCUUCGGAUUGUAAAGCCCUUUCGGCGGGGACGAUGAUGACGGUACCCGCAGAAGAAGCCCCGGCCAACUUCGUGCCAGCAGCCGCGGUAAUACGAAGGGGGCUAGCGUUGCUCGGAAUUACUGGGCGUAAAGGGCGCGUAGGCGGCGGCGUUAGUCAGGCGUGAAAUCCCCGGGCUCAACCCGGGGGCUGCGUUUGAUACGGCACCGCUCGAGGACGGGAGAGGCUCGCGGAAUUCCCAGUGUAGAGGUGAAAUUCGU
This 275-nucleotide ribosomal RNA is filed under the name uncultured bacterium. Its description in RNAcentral is "partial 16S ribosomal RNA". It matches the Rfam family "Bacterial small subunit ribosomal RNA", at positions 399 to 691 of the family's 1533-position model. The record is from RNAcentral.